Molecule: long non-coding RNA, 648 nt
Organism: Carya illinoinensis
Lineage: Eukaryota; Viridiplantae; Streptophyta; Magnoliopsida; Fagales; Juglandaceae
Exons: 2
Source: RefSeq, a predicted model, not a curated record
CUUUAUUUUGCAGUUGUGUUUAUUUACCUUGGGAGACUGGGGAAAGUAUUGUCAAGAUGGAGAAGAUGGUGAGGAGGGUGAUCUUAGAGGCUGCCAUUAUGGAAGAGGAGCUUCUGCUUACUUCGUCACCAUAAUUGAGAGAGGUCUGAAGUCUGACAGAUCCCGAGAGAUCUACAGAGUGAAGGAAGGAAAGUGAAGACAUUACUCAAACGAGGCAGUGCAGGUUUGGCGUCUCUCAACCUUUUGGUUCCCGUAAAGAUGUCCGAGAGUUACGGUACUCGUUUCUUUGAUUGAAUUCCCAGGAAUAACCUCAUGAACUAUGGCCGAAAGUUGACAACACGAGGCAUAGGAGCUAAGCAGCCCAGCACUAUUUUUCAAACCCCGCGAAGGCAUUCCAAAUUUUAAGGUUUGAAGUCGAGAAAUAGUCUUAUUACAUAGAUUUCAUAUGCAGUCAUUUUUACAUUUCUUUCACUCUAAAUUAUAAAGUUUAUACAUAAACUAUAAAAAAAAUCUAAAUUGGCAUAGACCUUCGACCUUCAAAGUUGGAAUAGGUAUAUAUUUGAUUUGUAUGAAAAAGUUAAAACUAAGUUAUAAUAUAAAGUAGAUCAUACAAUUUAAACAAGGUAAAAGAUGUAUUUUCUAUGCCAA